CGGAGAGGGAGCCUGAGAAACAGCUACUACAUCUAAGGAAGGCAGCAGGCGCGCAAAUUGCCCAAUCCUUUAACUGGGAGGUAGUGACCAGAAAUAACAAUACUGGACGUUUUCUCGCCGGGGAAUGGAAAGGAAAACAAGUUAAAUCCCUUACCAAGAAACAUUUGAAGAGCAAGCCGGGGGCCACCCCCCGCGGAAUUACCACUUCCAAAAGGGAAUAUUAAAGUUGUGGCAGUUAAAAAGUUCGAAUCUGAAUUUCUGGCGUUCAUGCCUGCCCCGAUCCGCGUUCGGAUGGACUGACCCAGCGUGUCCUUAUUCCUU
Molecule: ribosomal RNA, 321 nt
Filed under: uncultured organism
Description: bacterial SSU rRNA
Rfam family: Eukaryotic small subunit ribosomal RNA
Source: RNAcentral